GGGGUCUUGGAAACUCCCUGUGACUGCCAACCUGUUCAAGAUGGACCCCGCGUCCCUGCCUCUCGCCAUUAACCACUGGAGACACUGCAGGACGAAACACCUGCACGGAAAAGCAGUAAACCCGCAAGAGGAGGGAUUUGACAGAUCUGAAAAUCG
Long non-coding RNA from Fundulus heteroclitus (mummichog), 156 nucleotides. RefSeq lists it as uncharacterized. The record is from RefSeq and is a predicted model, not a curated record. The transcript has 3 exons. NCBI's taxonomy places the organism in Eukaryota, Metazoa, Chordata, Actinopteri, Cyprinodontiformes, Fundulidae.